Molecule: RNA transcript, 6774 nt
Organism: Peromyscus californicus insignis
Lineage: Eukaryota; Metazoa; Chordata; Mammalia; Rodentia; Cricetidae
Gene: Palmd
Gene name: palmdelphin
Exons: 8
Source: RefSeq, a predicted model, not a curated record
UGUGUGUGUGUGUGUGUGUGUGUGUGUGUAAGCUCUGCGGCCAGACUGAGGUCCACUAAGUGAGGUAACCUUAAGCACACAGGCUCACAACACCCAGGGUGUGCUGCUGCUGCGGGAACCCUGGCUGGCCUGACACUCCGCAGGCACACACACACACACACGCACACGCACGCACGCAGGGCAGUUCCCUGUGCCGCUCCUGGAAAAUAAUGACUUGGAGAAGGAACAGUUAAUAAGAAAAUGUGCCUCGCUAACCGUGCACAGAACAACAAAGAGCUGGCAGCCCCUGAAGGAAAAGGGCUUGUGCGGCUGCCGUUCAAACUUGUCAGUCAACUGGUGCCAGCAGCCUCAGCGUCUGCCUCCCCAGCACACCCUCAUUACAUGUGUCUGUCUGGCCUCAUCUGUGCCUCGGCUCAGAGGCGCUCCUGACAAGCCGGGAUUCUCUUCCUCUCUCCCGGGUGCAAAGAGCAGAUUUCUCUCCGUGUCUCUUCUGUCACCUCUAGCUCCGCUCCCCAAGGAGGCACCUUGAUUUAUGGUAGCUUGGGACUUCCUUCGGCGUCUGCCUGUCCUUGACUUCUAGAAUGGAAGAAGCUGAGCUGGUGAAGGGAAGACUCCAGGCCAUCACAGAUAAAAGAAAAAUCCAGGAAGAAAUCUCACAAAAGCGUCUGAAAAUAGAGGAGGAAAAAUCGAAACACCAACAUCUAAAGAAAAAAGCCUUGAGGGAGAAAUGGCUCCUGGAUGGAAUCAGCAGUGGAAAAGAACAGGAAGAGAUGAAGAAGCAAAAUCAGCAAGACCAGCACCAGACCCAGGUUCUAGAGCAAAGCAUCCUCAGGCUUGAGAAAGAGAUCCAAGACCUUGAAAGGGCUGAACUGCAAAUCUCAGCCAAUGAAGAGGCAAUUCUAAAGAAGCUAAAAUCGAUCGAGAGGACUACUGAAGACAUAAUAAGAUCUGUGAAAGUGGAAAAGGAAGAAAUCCCAGAAGAGUCAAUUGAGGACAUCUAUGCUAACAUCCCUGACCUUCCAAGUUCCUACAUACCUUCCAGAUUAAGAAAGGAAAGAAACGAAGGACAAGAUGAUGAUGAACAGAACAGAAAAGCUUUGUAUGCCAUGGAAAUUAAAGUUGAAAAAGACUUGAAGACUGGAGAAAGCGUUGUUCUAUCUUCAAUCCCCCUCCCAUCAGAUGACUUUAAAAGCGCAGGAAUAAAGGUCUACGACGAUGGGCAGAAGUCAGUCUACGCAGUCAGCUCCGAUCAGAACACAAGCUACAACGGCACCGACGGCCUCGCACCGGUGGAAGUGGAGGAUCUCCUGAGACAAGCCUCAGAGAGGAACUCUAAGUCACCCACGGAGUACCAUGAGCCCGUGUAUGCCAAUCCGUUUUGCAGGCCUGUGACCCCGCAAAGAGAGAGAGUAAGCCCUGGACCAAACUUUCAAGAAAGGAUAAUGAUGAAAGCUAACGGACUGGGUAACCAUGCAAAUGAACCCAUGCACAAUACUAACGAUGCGCUUUCAGAGGGGAGAAGCAAUGGGGCCCCUCACACCAGCCCGACUCGGCCAAUACCUCAGCCGCGAGCAUCGGUUCAGCCCGCAGAAGAGAUGGUCCACACCCGGCAAAAGAGGAUGGUGACUCCUUGGGAAGAGUCGAACAUGGGGCAGAGCGAACAUGAGAUUUCUCCGAGGACGGGACUGAGCCCCCGCAGAGCAAGCCCUGGGAAGUCAGGACCCCAGGGUUCUUCACCCACUUGCCAGGAGGAGGCUGAAGAUGUAAGAUACAACAUCGUUCAUUCUCUGCCUUCUGAUGUGGACAACACAGAACCCGUAACGAUGAUUUUCAUGGGGUACCAGCAGGCAGAUGAUAAUGAAGAGGAAAAGAAGCUUUUGACAGGGUAUGACGGGGUCAUCCAUGCUGAGCUGGUCGUGAUUGAUGACGAGGGGGAGGAGGAGGAUGACGGACAAGCUGAGAAGCCAUCCUACCAUCCCGUAGCUCCCUGUAGUCAAGUUUACCAGCCAACCAAACCAACCCCACUUCCUAGAAAGAGAUCGGAAGUUAGUCCUCAUGAAAACACAAACCAUAAAUCUCCCCACAAAAAUUCCAUAUCUCUGAAAGAGCAAGAGGAACGCUUAGGCAGCCCUGCCGGCCACUCUCCCCUGGGUGUUCCAAUGGCUGGAGAUGGGACUGAGGAUCCAUCCUUAACAGGUAAUAAAAAUGACAAGGCAUGCCACUGCUGUUUACUCAUGUGACAGUCUUCUCUGUGUUAAUGAGCAUUCUGACUUUCAGCUUCUAUGACCACCUCAUAAACUAAUAUGCGCUGACAGCUUUUAAUAACGCUGAAUUAUCAUCAGAGCAAAGUAAGUCACUUCAAAAAUAACGAAAGUGAAAACUGUGUCUUGCUUUGUUUUAAUAUUGCAUUGACCGCCCUUAGUUACUGGAAAUGUGUCUUCUGUGAGGGAGCAAUACCAUAUGUGAAUAACUGGGGAUGCUAAUUAACGUCCUGAUCAUCAGAAGCAUACUUUUCCCAGCAGAAUCCAAUGAUGACUACUUGCCUGUGCCUCCUGUGACUUACACUUUAUUCAUAAGUUAACAAGUAGCCUUAAUUUUGCAAAGAAAUAGAGAACAUGUACUAUUUUCUUCUCAUUUUAUUACUCAGCUAUAUCUCCUUUCUCUAUACUUUUAUUUUAUUAACUUUGGUUCUUUAAUUUUCUACACUUUAAACAUAGAAUGACAUUUUAUCUUGCAUUAUCUAUGACUCAACUUUUCAUGGUCUUCUCCAACUUAGCAGAUUUAUUUUUUCUAUUUUCUAUAUAGCUACAUUUCUCAUUCUCUAUGAAGUUUUUAUAGCUUUGUAUCUCUUUAGCUAUCUCAACAUUGAAUGAAAAGUAACUGUAACACUUUUUCUACAAACCGACAGCUCCUCAAUUUUAAAUUCCUUGUUAUCGCUCGAAUAUAGCAAAUGACAAAAACAAUUAGAAUAACUGAGCAAACCCUAGCUAAAAAUCUAAGUCAAAUUACACAAAUACACAGGUUCUAAAUGUUAAAAAUGGAAAGUAAUUUUAAAUGUUGCUAAUUGAAGAAUGAUCAUUAAAAAGCAAUAACUACUCAGUAGCAGACAGCCCAGUGAGUAUAACUUGAUAGUUUUAUAGAAGCGUGGCAGAAAUUCAAGAUGUUUCUUCCUCAUCAAACCAUAAACUCAAUCUUGUGUUGCUAACAACACAGUAAUAGGGACAUUCUUCCAUUCUUCUAAAUCCUUGAAUUAGGUGAACCCAUUGUGAGUUUAAUCAUCUGAAGAAUUCCUCCCCUCUUGAGAAGUGUCCACUCAUAUAUCUUCCUCAGACUGUGGAGUAAUGUUCCCCACAAUGGAAAGCUGCAGAUAGUAAGUUCCUUUCCAUUUAGAGAAUGAGCUUUGUUUACAGUCAAAUGUUUCCUUUGAAAUUCAUUCUUAAAACAAUGCAUGAGGCAUAGAGAAAAGGAACGCCCUAUUUUAUGGUCAGUUACAAAGACAUGAACCACUGUAAAAAACAAAAGCAAAAACUCCCUUUUUGAUCUUGGAUAUUAGCCAGCUCCUCCCAAACACCCUUACUCCUUCUCCCCUAAACACAUUAACAUUUACCCCUAGAAAAAUGACAGGAAGUGACUAACAUUUACAGACAACACUAACCAUGCUACUGAACUAAAAUUAGGAAAACUUAUGCCAGACAAAGUAACAAUACAAAGUCUUGUACUAGCAAACUAAAUAUCUCGUAAAGAGAAUGCUCCAGAUUCCUUACAUUUCAUUGUGACGUUGUUUUACGUCUCGGCCUUCCAAAUCAUCACAUGGAUUAGAGUGGAGGUGUUUAGUAUGGGUGAGUUUUACAAAAGUCAAUCAUAUUAUGCUUUCAAGGACCAUCUACAUACAUUAAGAACAUAGCUACCUAUGUACUUCAAUUUCACAAGUACGUUUUACAUUGUGCUUUCAACAUUACACACACACAUCCAUACACACAGAGAGAAAUGAUACAAUACUUAAAAACCCACAAUUAAGUCAAUUCCAUUAUUAAAGUACAAAUAUCCUAUUAAAUGCUAAUAGCUCUGGUAGAUACAAUAAUAAGGAAUUAUCUUUUCACUUGUUAUACAUAUAGUUAUCAAAAUCUUGUCUCAAAAGCAAUUCGUGGGGAUGGGAAGAUAGUUCAGUGGGUAAGAGCACUUGGUCUAUAAAAUAAGGGCAUGAGUUUGGUUCCAUCCACCCACGGAAAAAGCCGGCCACGGGUGCGCAUGCCUGAACCCCACCACUGCAGCAGAGGCAGGCAGAUCCCAGGACCCUGCUGGCCACCCAGCCUAGCCAAAACUGUGAUUUCUGAUUCAGGGAGGGACCCUGUCCCAAGGCAACAAGGCAUGGAGUGAUAGAGGCAGACACCUGAGGUCCUGCUUUGGCCUCCUGUACACACCAGUGCAUGCAUCACACACACACACACACACACACACACACACACACACACACACACACACACACGCAGUUUUUAACUGGAAAAACUAUAUGUAGAUGGAAGAAAGAUGAAAACUUGCCAAUGUGGAUAGUCUAAAAACAGUAUAUUUUAGUAAAAAUUUGAACACUGUUAAACAUGACAGAAAAACUUAGGUAAUCUUAUGUCUAUCUACUUGAUAUGGUCCAGACGCACUCACUAUUGUGUGGCUUCCAAAAGCUUUCCAUGAGAUCCCACUAACCCCAACGACAGCAACUAGACAGCUAAGCUUUCUUCAGUAGACCUCACACACCUAGUCUUGUUCCAGCUCAAUAUUCUAUGGUCUUAGAGAUGUCAAUGGCACUUUGGGAUGAAGAGGUAGAAAAACCUUAGCUCUGGAGCCCUCACACACCAUCGAUUCAGAAACCGCCAGUAGAGGUCAAGGAAGAAGACGGAGGGUGAACCACAAAUCUCUCUUCCACCAAGUUUAAACAGCUAAAAGUGUCUGUCUGUGUGGCUGUAGGGAAACAGGACUGGGAUUCAGACAAGAGCAGGAAAGAGGGGCAAGAGAACCAAUGGGACAGUGUUUGGGGAGCCGCUCCUUGCACACACCUCCAGCUGCAGUUAGGGCUAUUGCCACAGGCUUGGAAAAGGGAAUGCUGGUGCUAGCUGACUUCACUGCAGGUCCUGGGACACAGGGUGGUCUCUAUUUCCAGACUCGCAAGAUGAGACGUACCUAUAGGGAAGAGGAUUUUUGUCCCUGCCUUAAAACAGACCUUUAAACAAUCCCUUAUCCCUGCUCUCUCCCGGCACUGGUAAUGCAAGGGGCCACAAAACCCAAGAGCAGCCCUUCCUGAAGCCUUGCCUGCUGCCUGUUCUGCUGUGGGACUUCGGGCUGCUUGCUCCUCAGAGGUCACCACCCAGCAGCUCCCAGCAACAGAGCCCAUCCUGCUGACUGAGCAAAGGAAAUUCUCUCAACACAUCCUGAAGUCAAAGGAAUAUUCUUGGUCUUGCCGUUAGAAGUGAUCAUUCCUCUUCUCUUCCAAGGGAAAAAAACAAUGCUUUUUACUUUCCUUGAAAUGAAACUAUGUCACAGACAUAUGAAAAUGACCUCAAAACAGUAGCAGGUCCCCAUCUCUUCUUAGGUUUUUGUAAAAAGCCUCUUAGAGAUAGGAUCAUUUCUUUGGUUAAUAGGUAAUAAUGUGUGACAUAGAGAUGGGAAAAAAAAACAUGUCUUCCCUUUUAUUGUUUCAUUAAAACAAAAUUGUGCAAUUAGUUAAAUGGCUGCUUCUUGGGCCAUUUUACACAUGAAUGUAAUAUUACGUAAUUAAUACAAUCACUUGCUCAGUGCCUUGAAAGCAUCUUUCAACUUUUGGAACAUGAUUGAGACAGCUCUGCUCAAAGGCCCUAAAUAUUAAGGCGUGAGACCAGAACACCAAAGGAGUAUUAUAAAUUCCACACCUACAAUUUUAUAAACGUUUUCUACAGCCAACACUUCUUCAGCAGUAGAGCAUAUGCAAAGAUACACCUGCCAUUCGAAAACAUAAUUCCACAUUAAUGCUUAACUAUUAGUUCACAUUGUUUCAUACAUAAAUUUAUUCUUGUCAUUGCACAUCCAAAGGUCAGAGAGCCUUUGGACAACCAAGUUUAAUGAGAUUUUUUUUGAAGAUCUAAUCACUAAGUAUAGUUUAAGUAUUAGUAUCUUUUUGGUUCAAUGGUACAUAGUUAAGGAUAUGCACAAAACUGAUGUAAAGGAAUAUGUAUCUAGGCUGAUCGUGAAAAUAUGUAACAUCCACCUGUACUGUGUUCUCUCUGCUCACUUUCUUGACCUUUGUAGACGUAGGUUCCUCCUAGUUCUCAACCUACCCCUGCCCUAAGUUAACCAGAGCUCAUUAUUUCUACUAUCUUUUUAUGCUACUAAAACAAUGCUCACGCUGUUGGAUAAAACCAUCUGAGCUUUAAGGAUAAGGAUGGCAAAACUGGGGAAAAAGGUAAUCUGAGCUGUAGUGCCCACCUGAGGAACCUUCGGAGAAGCAGCCAAGAAAUGCCUGAAAAUUUCUUUUCUGAAUACUUUUAUUUCUUUUUCCUAAAGUCCAAAUAUAUAUAUAUAUAUAUAAUUAUACCUAUAGUAAGCCACAUAAAUAAAUAGUAGUCAUUAUUUGUGGAAAAAAUGCCCCCCAAAGCUGGGGAAAACAAAUGCUAACUUUUCCAGUUACUUGACAUGACUCAGUGGGUCGGGAGAACCAGUAUAUUUUUAUUGUAUUGAUACCAAAGCAUUUCUAAUAAGAGCUUGUUAAAUUUAAGAAUAAAGUUAUUUAAAAUACUUUGACUAUCUUAA